Molecule: long non-coding RNA, 693 nt
Filed under: Malus domestica (apple)
Lineage: Eukaryota; Viridiplantae; Streptophyta; Magnoliopsida; Rosales; Rosaceae
Description: long non-coding RNA (MDOM_LNC018304)
Source: RNAcentral
GAAGUAGGAAAGUUAAGCCAAGGUUUCCUAUUUUGGUUUGACCUUUCCUAAUUCUAAAAGUACUCAUGUUCCAGCCACUUUAAGGACACAUAUGCAUUUGAGGACACAAAACAAAGGCCUUAGACCUUUCCUAUACCUUUGCCGCACCUUGUGAAGGUUCCUUACCCUUUCCUCUUCCUUGCCGUGCAAGGGAGAGGAGUCUUUCCUGAUUUUAGGUAUUUCAACACAUUCCUAAUGUGUUUCAAGGUGUAGCCGCACCUCCUAGCCUAAUUCCCUUAAGUUUCUGAUUUUAAUUUCCUAUUUCUAGAAGCUUUUGACUUGAUUUCUGUUUACCAAAAUAGUCUAGGGUUUUUAAUUUCCUAUUUCUAGAAGCUUUUGACUUGAUUUCUGUUUACCAAAAUAGUCUAGGGUUUUUAAUUUCCUAAUCCCUUUAAAUAAACAUCCUUAUGCAGCCACAAACAUACCCAUUCACCCAGAAAACAACCAUUCACGCCAGAAACUGAACACCACCUUCAACAGCCCCAUUCCUUCACCAUUCACCAUAUUUUCUGACCCAAAACCACCCUAGCCGCACCACCCAUCAACCCUAAACACUUCCAUACGUCUUCCAUCCAUUCUACAUCAUUCAAUAACCCAAGAAACCACCAACAUCCAAUCUGCCGCAAGCAAGGAAAGGGGACAGAUUCACUCAAU